RNAcentral lists this transfer-messenger RNA (349 nucleotides) under Vulcanimicrobiota. RNAcentral's name for it is "JAJTBE01 sp021287065 Standard tmRNA". It matches the Rfam family "transfer-messenger RNA". Rfam says of the family: Bacterial tmRNA, also known as 10Sa RNA or SsrA, is named for its dual tRNA and mRNA-like properties. Lineage: Bacteria; Bacillati. The record is from RNAcentral. RNAcentral also lists the same sequence under 1 other name.
GGGGGUGACCGGAUUCGACGGGGUGUGUUCUGGCAUUGACAGCAGGCAGAGUGCCGGAGCUCUUUAAAAAACGGAACCAAAUGUAACUGCGAAUAAUAGAACACUCGCACUGGCUGCUUAGGCAGCCACGUUCUGCCAGCGUUGCCGAUAGCGCUGAACAGGGCGUCAAAAAUAUCGGAUAGUCCAAGUGUGAUGCUCCGGGCAUAAGGGCGAAUUCUUAGGAGAUGCAGUCACUGUGAACUUGUCGGUGAGGGCGCUUUGACUAAAGACAAAAAACAUCGACUAAGCCUGUAGUCGGUUGAUGUGGGAACCUCUUCGGACGCGGGUUCAAGUCCCGCCACCUCCACCA